UCUGGCUCAGGACGAACGCUGGCGGCGUGCCUAAUACAUGCAAGUCGAGCGGAGUUGAUGAAGGUGCUUGCACCUCUGAUACUUAGCGGCGGACGGGUCGAGUAACACGUGGGUAACCUGCCUGUAAGACUGGGAUAACAUUCGGAAACGAAUGCUAAUACCGGAUACGCGAUUUGGUCGCAUGACCGAAUCGGGAAAGAUGGAGCAAUCUAUCACUUACAGAUGGACCCGCGGCGCAUUAGCUAGUUGGUGAGGUAACGGCUCACCAAGGCGACGAUGCGUAGCCGACCUGAGAGGGUGAUCGGCCACACUGGGACUGAGACACGGCCCAGACUCCUACGGGAGGCAGCAGUAGGGAAUCUUCCGCAAUGGACGAAAGUCUGACGGAGCAACGCCGCGUGAGUGAUGAAGGUUUUCGGAUCGUAAAGCUCUGUUGCCAGGGAAGAAUGCUUGGGAGAGUAACUGCUCUCAAGGUGACGGUACCUGAGAAGAAAGCCCCGGCUAACUACGUGCCAGCAGCCGCGGUAAUACGUAGGGGGCAAGCGUUGUCCGGAAUUAUUGGGCGUAAAGCGCGCGCAGGCGGCCUUGUAAGUCUGUUGUUUAAACUU
RNAcentral lists this ribosomal RNA (608 nucleotides) under Paenibacillus sp. ACT4GBAAH. RNAcentral's name for it is "bacterial SSU rRNA". It matches the Rfam family "Bacterial small subunit ribosomal RNA", at positions 18 to 603 of the family's 1533-position model. The record is from RNAcentral. Lineage: Bacteria; Bacillati; Bacillota; Bacilli; Caryophanales; Paenibacillaceae.